This 880-nucleotide ribosomal RNA is filed under the name Aphanothece sp. 10SS. RNAcentral's name for it is "bacterial SSU rRNA". It matches the Rfam family "Bacterial small subunit ribosomal RNA", at positions 350 to 1236 of the family's 1533-position model. The record is from RNAcentral. Lineage: Bacteria; Bacillati; Cyanobacteriota; Cyanophyceae; Chroococcales; Aphanothecaceae.
AGCAGUGGGGAAUUUUCCGCAAUGGGCGAAAGCCUGACGGAGCAACGCCGCGUGAGGGAUGAAGGCCUCUGGGCUGUAAACCUCUUUUAUCAAGGAAGAAGAUCUGACGGUACUUGAUGAAUAAGCCACGGCUAAUUCCGUGCCAGCAGCCGCGGUAAUACGGGAGUGGCAAGCGUUAUCCGGAAUUAUUGGGCGUAAAGCGUCCGCAGGCGGCCUUGAAAGUCUGUCGUUAAAGCGUGGAGCUUAACUCCAUUUCGGCGAUGGAAACUACAAGGCUAGAGUGGUGGUAGGGGCAGAGGGAAUUCCCGCGUGUCAGCGGUGAAAUGCGUAGAUAUCGGGAAGAACACCAGUGGCGAAGGCGCUCUGCUGGGCCAUAACUGACGCUCAUGGACGAAAGCCAGGGGAGCGAAAGGGAUUAGAUACCCCUGUAGUCCUGGCCGUAAACGAUGAACACUAGGUGUCGGGGGAAUCGACCCCCUCGGUGUCGUAGCCAACGCGUUAAGUGUUCCGCCUGGGGAGUACGGCACGCAAGUGUGAAACUCAAAGGAAUUGACGGGGGCCCGCACAAGCGGUGGAGUAUGUGGUUUAAUUCGAUGACAACGCGAAGAACCUUACCAGGGUUUGACAUCCUGCGAAUCCCUUGGAAACGAGGGAGUGCCUUCGGGAGCGCAGUGACAGGUGGUGCAUGGCAUGUCGUCAGCUCGUGUCGUGAGAUGUUUUUGGGUUAAGUCCCGCAACGAGCGCAACCACACGUCUUUAGUUGCCAGCAUUCAGUUGGGCACUCUAGAGAGACCGCCGGUGAUAAACCGGAGGAAGGUGUGGAUGACGUCAAGUCAUCAUGCCCCUUACAUCCUGGGCUACACACGUACUACAAUGCUAC